GAAAAAGUGGAGAAUGUAUUAGUUAUAUUACUUAUGUAAUAUUUUUAAUUAAUUUAAUUAUUUUAUUAAAUUUAUUUAUUUUGUUAUAGGAUUAUUAAAAAUAUUUUUUUAAAAAAAAUAUAAUUAACUAAUUAUAAUAAUAUAUAUAAGGUGUGUUUGGUUCGAAGUCGGAAUCGAAAUCGAAAACGAAAUGAAAAUAAGCUGGAAUCAGAAUCGGAAGGACUCAUUACUUCAUUAUGUUUGAUUUGCCACCUGAAUCGGAAUCAAAAUAAAUUAUUUUUAUUGUCAGUGUUUGGUUCAGAUAGUUAUCAAAAACAGAAUCAAAUUAAUAUAUCAAUUUUACCCUUUAUAAUAUAUUUUAAUUACUUUUAACUAUUUUGAAUACUCUAUUUAAAAUAUAAAUGAGUAACUUAUAAAAUAAUGAAUAAAAAGUUAAAAAAAUUAUAUUUUAUAUUAUUUAAUAUGAAAAUAAACUAUUUAUUAUUAUUUUUAUUGUAAUAAUUACAUGAUAAUAUAUAAAUUAUAAAAUUUUAUAUGACUUUAAUAAA
Molecule: long non-coding RNA, 548 nt
Filed under: Ananas comosus (pineapple)
Lineage: Eukaryota; Viridiplantae; Streptophyta; Magnoliopsida; Poales; Bromeliaceae
Description: long non-coding RNA (ACOM_LNC035671)
Source: RNAcentral